This 619-nucleotide ribosomal RNA is filed under the name uncultured bacterium. RNAcentral's name for it is "bacterial SSU rRNA". The stretch from base 1 to 525 matches the Rfam family "Bacterial small subunit ribosomal RNA", at positions 338 to 873 of the family's 1533-position model. The record is from RNAcentral.
CCUACGGGAGGCAGCAGUGGGGAAUAUUGCACAAUGGGCGAAAGCCUGAUGCAGCGACGCCGCGUGAGGGAUGACGGCCUUCGGGUUGUAAACCUCUUUCAGCAGGGAAGAAGCGAGAGUGACGGUACCUGCAGAAGAAGCGCCGGCUAACUACGUGCCAGCAGCCGCGGUAAUACGUAGGGCGCAAGCGUUGUCCGGAAUUAUUGGGCGUAAAGAGCUCGUAGGCGGCUUGUUGCGUCGGUUGUGAAAGCCCGGGGCUUAACCCCGGGUCUGCAGUCGAUACGGGCAGGCUAGAGUGUGGUAGGGGAGAUCGGAAUUCCUGGUGUAGCGGUGAAAUGCGCAGAUAUCAGGAGGAACACCGGUGGCGAAGGCGGAUCUCUGGGCCAUUACUGACGCUGAGGAGCGAAAGCGUGGGGAGCGAACAGGAUUAGAUACCCUGGUAGUCCUCGCCGUAAACGUUGGGAACUAGGUGUUGGCGACAUUCCACGUCGUCGGUGCCGCAGCUACGCAUUAACGUUCCCCGCCGUGGGGNGGUACGGCCGCCGACGGACGUAAACGUUAAACGGUAAAGUUAAGUACGGCGUUGAGACGUUGCCGACGGCGACGACGAGGGAGGAGG